UCAUUAACUGAAUCCAUAGGUUAAUGAGGCGAACCGGGGGAACUGAAACAUCUAAGUACCCCGAGGAAAAGAAAUCAACCGAGAUUCCCCCAGUAGCGGCGAGCGAACGGGGAGGAGCCCAGAGCCUGAAUCAGUGUGUGUGUUAGUGGAAGCGUCUGGAAAGGCGCGCGAUACAGGGUGACAGCCCCGUACACAAAAAUGCACAUGCUGUGAGCUCGAUGAGUAGGGCGGGACACGUGGUAUCCUGUCUGAAUAUGGGGGGACCAUCCUCCAAGGCUAAAUACUCCUGACUGACCGAUAGUGAACCAGUACCGUGAGGGAAAGGCGAAAAGAACCCCGGCGAGGGGAGUGAAAAAGAACCUGAAACCGUGUACGUACAAGCAGUGGGAGCACGCUUAGGCGUGUGACUGCGUACCUUUUGUAUAAUGGGUCAGCGACUUAUAUUCUGUAGCAAGGUUAACCGAAUAGGGGAGCCGAAGGGAAACCGAGUCUUAACUGGGCGUUAAGUUGCAGGGUAUAGACCCGAAACCCGGUGAUCUAGCCAUGGGCAGGUUGAAGGUUGGGUAACACUAACUGGAGGACCGAACCGACUAAUGUUGAAAAAUUAGCGGAUGACUUGUGGCUGGGGGUGAAAGGCCAAUCAAACCGGGAGAUAGCUGGUUCUCCCCGAAAGCU
RNAcentral lists this ribosomal RNA (675 nucleotides) under Escherichia coli. RNAcentral describes it as "partial 23S ribosomal RNA". It matches the Rfam family "Bacterial large subunit ribosomal RNA", at positions 150 to 867 of the family's 2925-position model. The record is from RNAcentral. Lineage: Bacteria; Pseudomonadati; Pseudomonadota; Gammaproteobacteria; Enterobacterales; Enterobacteriaceae.